RNAcentral lists this ribosomal RNA (503 nucleotides) under uncultured bacterium. RNAcentral describes it as "bacterial SSU rRNA". It matches the Rfam family "Bacterial small subunit ribosomal RNA", at positions 8 to 507 of the family's 1533-position model. The record is from RNAcentral.
AGAGUUUGAUCAUGGCUCAGAUUGAACGCUGGCGGCAUGCCUUACACAUGCAAGUCGAACGGUAACGGGCCUUCGGGUGCCGACGAGUGGCGAACGGGUGAGUAAUGCAUCGGAACGUACCUUUCAGUGGGGGAUAACGUAGCGAAAGUUACGCUAAUACCGCAUAUUCUGUGAGCAGGAAAGCAGGGGAUCGCAAGACCUUGCGCUGAUUGAGCGGCCGAUGUCAGAUUAGCUAGUUGGUGAGGUAAAGGCUCACCAAGGCGACGAUCUGUAGCGGGUCUGAGAGGAUGAUCCGCCACACUGGAACUGAGACACGGUCCAGACUCCUACGGGAGGCAGCAGUGGGGAAUUUUUGGACAAUGGGGGCAACCCUGAUCCAGCCAUGCCGCGUGAGUGAAGAAGGCCUUCGGGUUGUAAAGCUCUUUCGGCCGGGAAGAAAUCGCAUGGGUUAAUACCCUGUGCGGAUGACGGUACCGGCAUAAGAAGCACCGGCUAACUACGUG